GAAUGGGAAAUAGCCGACAGCUCGUCCAU
RNAcentral lists this small RNA (29 nucleotides) under Bombyx mori (domestic silkworm). RNAcentral describes it as "ovarian small RNA-15310". The record is from RNAcentral. Lineage: Eukaryota; Metazoa; Arthropoda; Insecta; Lepidoptera; Bombycidae.